UACGUAGGUGGCAAGCGUUGUCCGGAUUUACUGGGCGUAAAGCGUGCGCAGGCGGUUUUGUAAGCCAGAUGUGAAAUCCCCGGGCUUAACCUGGGAAUGGCAUUUGGGACUGCAAGGCUCGAGUGCGGCAGAGGAGACUGGAAUUCCUGGUGUAGCAGUGAAAUGCGUAGAUAUCAGGAGGAACACCGAUGGCGUAGGCAGGUCUCUGGGCUGACACUGACGCUCAUGCACGAAAGCGUGGGGAGCAAACGGG
This 253-nucleotide ribosomal RNA is filed under the name uncultured bacterium. RNAcentral's name for it is "partial 16S ribosomal RNA". It matches the Rfam family "Bacterial small subunit ribosomal RNA", at positions 524 to 776 of the family's 1533-position model. The record is from RNAcentral.